UUUAGUCAGCAACGGGAUGAUCACGCUUCUCCACUCCAUGGUCGAUCUUCACCUCUAUAAAUACCUAUUAAUCAGUUCAAGUGAUAUCAUAUCAUAUACAACUCUCACAUCCUUAUUAAUAUAGAAAUGGCCCUUCUCAAUGCCUCCAAAUUGAUGUCAUUUGCUGCUCUUUUAGCCAUUCUACUUUUAUCACUCAUGUCUGCUCAGCUGAGUAGUGCUGCCCAACCCAAUAUCAAACAUGGGCGAAAACUUUUCCAAGAACCACUACCACCGGCUUAUGGUACUAAAUAUCCUGGUGGAGGUGGUUAUCCUCCUGGUCACGGCGGCGGUUCUGGAACAUAUCCAUAAGCAAGAUCAUGACCACCAUGAAAACAAAAUUAAUUAUUGCUAAAGCUAUUCCACUCGAUGACCAGGACUUCUCUGUUGCUGGCUAAAUUGGAGAUGUUAGCAUUAAUUAAUUACUUAUAGUAGUUAUAUCAAUUUAUAUAUGUUAUAUUUUAUUUACAGUAACAUGUCGUCUUGUAUUUCCAAAUCAAUUAUGUGUAAUAAAACCAGCCUCACCAGAGUUGUGGCGGUUCCUGUUUUUGCAGCAUGUCAAAAUGUCAUUAAUUCUCACUGUUUCUGUAAAAGUACUAAGCUAAAUAUAAAAGUAUUCAUCUCCUAUGUGUCUUGUAGAUA
Molecule: long non-coding RNA, 678 nt
Organism: Lotus japonicus
Lineage: Eukaryota; Viridiplantae; Streptophyta; Magnoliopsida; Fabales; Fabaceae
Exons: 2
Source: RefSeq, a predicted model, not a curated record